AUUGCCCCUCAGCAGCAGCCUGCAGCGCCUCCUGCUCAGGCUCAGGCACCUGCACCAAAUGUGACUCAAGCCCCUCAGCAACCUCCUUAUUACAUGCCUCCCACCCCUCUGCAGAAUCCACCUGUGCCCCAGCUUCCCCAGAACCAGUAUUUGCCUUCUGAUCAACAAUAUCGAACUCCCCAACUUGCCCCACAACCAACACCAUCUCAAGUAACACCGUCCCCACCUGUGCAACAAUUUUCUCACUAUCAACAGCAACAGCCACAACCUCAACAACAACAUCAGCAGCUCCAGCAGCAACAACAGUGGUCACAGCAGGUGCCAUCACCUCAGCCACCCUCAAUGCAAUCUCAAACAAGACCCCCCUCUCCAGCUAUGUACCCUCCAUACCAGCCG
Molecule: long non-coding RNA, 396 nt
Filed under: Vigna radiata
Lineage: Eukaryota; Viridiplantae; Streptophyta; Magnoliopsida; Fabales; Fabaceae
Description: long non-coding RNA (VRAD_LNC001667)
Source: RNAcentral